Molecule: microRNA precursor, 103 nt
Filed under: Marmota monax (woodchuck)
Lineage: Eukaryota; Metazoa; Chordata; Mammalia; Rodentia; Sciuridae
Source: RNAcentral
AGUGGGAUAGCUGGGUCAAGUGGUGGUUCCAUUUCCAAUUUUUCAAGAAAUCUUCAUACUGCUUUCCAGAUUGACUGAACCAAUUUGCAGUCCCAUGAGCAAU